AAUGAACGCUGGCGGCAUGCCUUGCACAUGCAAGUCGAACGGCAGCAUGACCUAGCUUGCUAGGUUGAUGGCGAGUGGCGAACGGGUGAGUAAUGCAUCGGAACGUGCCUUUUAGUGGGGGAUAACGUAGCGAAAGUUACGCUAAUACCGCAUAUUCUCUGAGGAGGAAAGCAGGGGACCUUCGGGCCUUGCGCUAGAAGAGCGGCCGAUGUCGGAUUAGCUAGUUGGUGAGGUAAAGGCUCACCAAGGCAACGAUCCGUAGCGGGUCUGAGAGGAUGAUCCGCCACACUGGGACUGAGACACGGCCCAGACUCCUACGGGAGGCAGCAGUGGGGAAUUUUGGACAAUGGGCGCAAGCCUGAUCCAGCCAUGCCGCGUGAGUGAAGAAGGCCUUCGGGUUGUAAAGCUCUUUCGGCUGGGAAGAAAUCGCACCCUCUAAUACAGGGUGUGGAUGACGGUACCAGCAUAAGAAGCACCGGCUAACUACGUG
RNAcentral lists this ribosomal RNA (490 nucleotides) under uncultured bacterium. Its description in RNAcentral is "partial 16S ribosomal RNA". It matches the Rfam family "Bacterial small subunit ribosomal RNA", at positions 29 to 507 of the family's 1533-position model. The record is from RNAcentral.